Molecule: ribosomal RNA, 360 nt
Filed under: Acanthamoeba lenticulata
Lineage: Eukaryota; Discosea; Longamoebia; Acanthamoebidae
Description: SSU rRNA
Rfam family: Eukaryotic small subunit ribosomal RNA
Source: RNAcentral
UUGGCCCAGUUUGUUAGCCGGGAAAAAAUCAGACUGUUCAAAGCGAACAGAUAAACGGCCUGCCACCGAAUUCAUUAUCAUGGGAUAAUGGAAUAGGAUCCUGUCCUCCUAUUUUCAGUUCGUUUUGUUUUCAUCGAGGUUAUAUCAGGGUAAUGUUUAAUAGGGAUAGUUCGGGGCAUUAAUAUUUAAUUGCCGGAGGUGAAAUUCUUGGAUUUAUGAAAGAUUAACUCUGCGAAAGCGUUUGCCAAGGAUGUUUUCAUUAAUCAAGAACGAAAGUUAGGGGAUCGAAGACGAUCAGAUACCGUCGUAGUCUUAACCAUAAACGAUGCCGACCAGCGAUUAGGAGACGUUGAAUACAUG